UUUCACAGUUUUAUUAUUAAAGUUACGAUUUGACGCUUUAUGUAUUUUGCAAUCUUUUAACGUGGGACGAUAUAAUAUAUCAUUUCCUACACAGUAAAGAAAUGAAAUAUCAUGCAGCUUGUAGGUCUAGUGAGGUUUUAGAAAUGACCUCAUGUCUUAUACAUGAAAAUAUAAAAAUAACGGAGGUUAGGCGAAAGGUAACAUCUUGUGUUAACUGCUACUGAUUAUACGUCAUCAGAUACGUCGCCUAAUCCUGAUGACGUAUUUCUGAUACGGCACAUAAAAUUUAUCAGCAAUGAGACGGAAGAGUCAAGAAGUUUCGUCAUUAAUCUAUCAAAGGAUAAAAUUUAUCAAUACAUGUUACCCGAUGGAAGGGAGUUUUAGUGUUGAAUUCCGAUCUUUUUUCUAAAAUAAUUUUACUUGAUUUCAUUACUUUAUCAGAAAAAAACAUAAAAGAAAGAUGGGGGAGGAAAAAAAAAACCUUAGCAUCAGUCGUGAAGAAUAUUUGAUGAACAAACAGAGUAGAAUUACGUAUCGUCAUCGUAUAAAAGAAUUAAUGGAAUUAUCAGUAAAGGUUCAGUGAAUAUAUAGAAGAAUGUAUGAAUGGCGUGAACCUCACUCCAUUCAGAGAAUAUCCUAUUGAAUAUCUCGUCCCAUUCUACCGAAUAGAGUAAACCAUUCAGUAGAUGGUAGAUUGCGACAAGUUGAAUUUAUAAAAUCUGCAACGAAUGAACGAUUUGGUGUUGAUUCCAAGAAAGAAUCGUAUUGACAUUAGAGAUGAAUUGAAUAGUCAACAAAAAGCUUAAAAUAGUGAAGAUUAUCAAAGAACUGAUAUGAAACUGAAAUAAAAAUAAGUGUUACGAAUUGUAAUAGUUUUAAAAUUUUCUGUAUUUGAUUUUGAAUUCAGGUAGAAUGAGAGAAUUGAUCAUUUAUGUAUUCUAAUCGAUUUUAAUGAACUUAUUUUAAAAUUAAUUUGUACUCAUUAAAGCCAAUUAUAAUAUGCUCAUUUCAUUUUAAAUAUUUUUAUAAAUACUAUCGAAAUUUUUUGGGAAUUAAUAUCAUUAAGAGUACACUCAUUGACUGAAAAAAACACACGGCAUAUGAUUAUGUCACAGACAGGUAUGUAAAUGAUUGUAGUUGUGAUCCGGUUGCACGCUAGGUAAUUCCAACAGAGUGCUACUCCCUGUAUCUUAUAAAAAGGCUCGCAGAGGCUCAUUGUAUUCAAAAUUUUUAAUACCUUUUGUUUGGAAUCUUCGACGUCAACAAUGUCUGCAAGAUGCAAUCAAAGACAUUACGCACAGCUGACGGAGUUGAGGUUUCUGAGGAAGCACAAAGGCAGUUUCACUGAAUUGCUUGCUAUCAGGAUCGUUCUGACCUGCCUGUGAGGUGUUGUGGGAAUUGGAUACGUUAGGACACACACGACGGCUAAGCUUCAAAAGCCCCAGCACAUCAUCAGAAGAGAUGAUCGUGAGACAAGCACGAACAUCUUCAACAGCGUUUUUGCUCACCUCCAGAGACAUGUGGAAGCCUCUCUACGAAACUGUUUCUUUCCGAACUAGCGUAGAAAAAUUUUUAUGCUCGGCGACUAUUAUGAGUCCUGACUUUGUCAGCUUCGUCUACAGUGGUGCCAUGACAGAAAAGCAUGGACUGCUACAGACCAGAAGCGUGUCUUUAGUGACGAAUCCCGGUUCUGUUUGGGAACGGACUACCACCGCGUUAGAGUCACUAGUGAAUGCUUCAAUAUCCUUUAUUGCUGAACGGCACACUACCCGCACUGCUGGCAUGCUGGUCUGAGGCUUGUAUGCAAGUCGGUCGCCUCUAGUAGUGUUAUGAUGGUACAACAUCCAGGAAAUCCUGCGCCUUAUGUGUUGCCUUUUAUGCCAGGACUUUUAGAUAGCCAUUUUCCAGCAAGAGAAUGCUCGGAUGCACACAGCUAGAGUUUCCCAGAAAUGUCUCCGCCAUGUUUCCAGUUGCCAGACUUCUUUGGUCUGCCUAAUUCCCAGAUUUGUCAUCUAUUGAGCAUUUAUGGACUAGAUGGGAUGCCAGCUUUGGCCAUCCAUAAGUGGAGCGGCAGUUGUAACACGUGUGGACAAUUCUGUUGGUUAUAUGGUGCCUGCAUGCCCGAUCUUAUCUCCGCAUAUAUCCAGACAAGAGAAAGUCCUACAAAAUAUCAAAGGUUCGUUUAAAUUGUAACAUAGUUUCAUAAGAAGUUUCCUCUUCUUUGUCAUGUUAUUGUAAUCACUUAAAAUUAACUAAAAAUAUAUUCGGAAACUUAGAAACCUGGACAGAGAGGACACAGUCAUUACAAUUAUUUAUUAUUAGUUUAAAAAAAAACAAGAUUUUAAACACAAUGACAAAAAUAUUCAGUGUUACUUUUAACUACGAAAAUGUAUAUAACUUUCUUAA
Long non-coding RNA from Centruroides sculpturatus (bark scorpion), 2406 nucleotides. RefSeq lists it as uncharacterized. The transcript has 4 exons. The record is from RefSeq and is a predicted model, not a curated record. NCBI's taxonomy places the organism in Eukaryota, Metazoa, Arthropoda, Arachnida, Scorpiones, Buthidae.